Long non-coding RNA from Acanthochromis polyacanthus (spiny chromis), 562 nucleotides. RefSeq lists it as uncharacterized. The record is from RefSeq and is a predicted model, not a curated record. Lineage: Eukaryota; Metazoa; Chordata; Actinopteri; Pomacentridae. The transcript is spliced from 3 exons.
CACACACAGGAAUACCUAGAAGAAUCUAUCAAAGUCCUUGUGGUCACUUUUAAAAAUGACAAAGAAAUUUGCAAAAAAAUUCUGGAUGUUAAGAGUGCUCGAGAUCUUAUUGCUCAAAGUCUAGCUCAGCAUACUGGCUGUGUGCCUGAUAGAUUAUUGAAAUAUAGCAAUGAUUUCAUGGAAUAUAUAGAUGUAGAUAGCAAUGUGGACGUGAAGGACUUUGAUAGAUUCCAGGUCUUCCUCUCAGCCAGAGGGUGCCAUGGCCACAAGGAGACCAGUGAAGUUUAGUCAAUCACUAACACGAAAGAGCAUGAUCCAGUCAACACUGACAAACUACGGUCACUACUUCAGAAGAAGGCCCCACAAAUUCUUAGAGAAUAUGAAACGACAGGUAUUCUAUCAGUGCCUUCAAGGAAACUCCUGGUGAAGACCUGUGUUGGAGAUCUGGUGGAGAGGUGUGGUUUUUACCCUGUUGGUGCAGAGAAGCUUGCUUUGGCAAAACACAUCAUCACCACCUUCCCAUCCCUGAGUGUCAAAGUUGCAGGAAAAGGAGAAGGAUUUG